RNAcentral lists this ribosomal RNA (399 nucleotides) under uncultured bacterium. RNAcentral's name for it is "bacterial SSU rRNA". It matches the Rfam family "Archaeal small subunit ribosomal RNA", at positions 339 to 737 of the family's 1478-position model. The record is from RNAcentral.
GCGCGAAACCUCCGCAAUGUGAGAAAUCGCGACGGGGGGACCCCAAGUGCCAUUCUUAACGGGAUGGCUUUUCUUAAGUGUAAAAAGCUUUUGGAAUAAGAGCUGGGCAAGACCGGUGCCAGCCGCCGCGGUAACACCGGCAGCUCUAGUGGUAGCCAUUUUUAUUGGGCCUAAAGCGUUCGUAGCCGGUUUAAUAAGUCUCUGGUGAAAUCCCGUAGCUUAACGAUGGGAAUUGCUGGAGAUACUAUUAGACUUGAGGUCGGGAGAGGUUAGAGGUACUCCCAGGGUAGGGGUGAAAUCCUGUAAUCCUGGGAGGACCACCUGUGGCGAAGGCGGUCUAACUGGAACGAACCUGACGGUGAGGGACGAAAGCUAGGGGCGCGAACCGGAUUAGAUACC